GAGUUAAUGGGUUAUUAUUGGCAAGGAAAAUACAGUUGGGCAGGGACGGUGGAGCCUGGUAAGGAGGGACUUUGAAAAGCAGUGAGGAGUUUAAAUUUGGCUCUGAAAGCAGGAGAUCAGCAACACUUUGCAAGGCCUGAGUCUAACCUUCCUUUCAUCAACAGGCCAUUGAACACGUGAGCAGACCACAGUCUUUUCUCCUACAGAGGCUGAAGCUAAAGUUGCUGGACAAUGCCAAGAACAAUGGAAGGAAGGAUGACAAGAAAUGAAGGGGUAAAAUGGAGCCCUGGCCGUGAGGAGAAUGCAAUGCUAUAAUAACAUAAAACAGAGAAAACAACAGAGAACUGUAUCUGAUACCAAGAAAUCUCUGAAACAUCAAAGAGUGGCUGGGAACAUCCACAGAAGAGUCUGGGAAAGUGAAGUUCCUCCUCUUCCUCUCCACAAAAGGAAGGAAACUGGAAACACGGGGACAGUUUUACACCUGACUUUAAUUGUCAGCCUAAGCCUUAAAUCAAUUUUCGAAGGAGAUAGGAUAUAAAUUGCAAAUAAAUAAAUAAUCAAGUCAACUCAUCUACUCUAGGAAUUGAUUUUCU
RNAcentral lists this long non-coding RNA (593 nucleotides) under Chinchilla lanigera (long-tailed chinchilla). RNAcentral describes it as "lncRNA (ENSCLAG00000024172.1)". The record is from RNAcentral. Lineage: Eukaryota; Metazoa; Chordata; Mammalia; Rodentia; Chinchillidae.